Apiotrichum porosum is the source of this 97-nucleotide non-coding RNA. Lineage: Eukaryota; Fungi; Basidiomycota; Tremellomycetes; Trichosporonales; Trichosporonaceae. The record is from the annotation of a RefSeq genome assembly.
UCUUCGCUAGUAUAUCGGUUAGUAUAACCGCCUCUCAUUAGAGAGUUUCUUAAUAGGAUCAUCGCGGUAGAGCAGGGUUCAACUCCCUGGCGGAGAA